Molecule: ribosomal RNA, 424 nt
Filed under: uncultured bacterium
Lineage: Bacteria
Description: partial 16S ribosomal RNA
Rfam family: Bacterial small subunit ribosomal RNA
Source: RNAcentral
AAUUUUGGUCAAUGGUGGAAACCCUGAUCCAGCAAUCCCGCGUGUAUGCUGAAGGCCUUCGGGUUGUAAAGUACUUUUGACAGAGAUGAAAAGGUAUCUCCUAAUACGAGAUACUGCUGUCGGUAUCUGCUGUAUAAGCACAGGCUAACUACGUGCUAGCCGCCGCGGUAAUACGUAUGGCCCAAGCGUUAAUCGGAAUUACUGGGCGUAAAGCGUGUGUAGGCGGAUCGGAAAGAAAGAUGUGAAAUCCCAGGGCUCAACCUUGGAACUGCAUUUUUAACUGCCGAGCUAGAGUAUGUCAGAGUGGGGUAGAAUUCCACGUGUAGCAGUGAAAUGCGUAGAUAUGUGGAGGAAUACCGAUGGCGAAGGCAGCCCCCUGGGAUAAUACUGACGCUCAGACACGAAAGCGUGGGGAGCAAACAGG